RNAcentral lists this ribosomal RNA (221 nucleotides) under uncultured bacterium. RNAcentral describes it as "partial 16S ribosomal RNA". It matches the Rfam family "Bacterial small subunit ribosomal RNA", at positions 113 to 334 of the family's 1533-position model. The record is from RNAcentral.
UAGUCUGGGAAACGUGCCUGAUGGAGGGGGAUAACUACUGGAAACGGUAGCUAAUACCGCAUAAUGUCGCAAGACCAAAGUGGGGGGACCUUCGGGGCCUCAUGCCAUCAGAUGUGCCCAGAUGGGAUUAGCUAGUAGGUGGGGUAAUGGCUCACCUAGGCGACGAUCCCUAGCUGGUCUGAGAGGAUGACCAGCCACACUGGAACUGAGACACGGUCCAG